ACGCGAAAGCUCCCUUCGGGGAGCAAGUAGAGUGGCGCACGGGUGAGUAACACGUAGGUAAUCUACCUUUGGAUGGGGAAUAACAACCGGAAACGGUUGCUAAUACCGCAUAAUGCAGCGGCACCUAAUGGUGACAGUUGUUAAAGCGGGGGAUCGUAAGGCCUCGCGUCUGAAGAGGAGCCUGCGGCGGAUUAGCUAGUUGGUAAGGUAACGGCUUACCAAGGCGAUGAUCCGUAGCCGGCCUGAGAGGGCGGUCGGCCACACUGACACUGACAUACGGGUCAGACUCCUACGGGAGGCAGCAGUCGGGAAUUUUGGGCAAUGGGCGAAAGCCUGACCCAGCAACGCCGCGUGAAGGAUGAAAUCCCUCGGGAUGUAAACUUCGCAAGAACGGGAAGAAUAAGUAAGAGUUAAUAUCUCUUACGAUGACGGUACUGUUUGUAAGCUCCGGCUAACUCCGUGCCAGCAGCCGCGGUAAUACGGGGGGAGCAAGCGUUG
Molecule: ribosomal RNA, 498 nt
Filed under: uncultured bacterium
Lineage: Bacteria
Description: bacterial SSU rRNA
Rfam family: Bacterial small subunit ribosomal RNA
Source: RNAcentral